AGUUUACAAAAAGUUGGGCCUUGAAAAUCUCAUUAAGCACGAACGUCAGCGUAAACUUAUCAUAAUAUGACGUAGAUGCGAAGGGUAGUGCGCGGGGGUACUACUCAAAGUCGCAAAAGCUGAACAGGGAACACAUAACGCACACAUAUGUAAAGACAAUCAUUUUAAGCUAUAUAUGCAAUAACAUGGCUUCGUAAUAAUGUUGGGAUUCAUAGCCCUCCAAGCUCGAUUCCCCCAAUCGAGCCACACUAAUUUACCCACCACUGGGAAUAUUUAUGAAGUAUCCGAACUGUUCAAGUUAUUUAUUUACGUAGAUUACAUAGAGUC
Metopolophium dirhodum (rose-grain aphid) is the source of this 327-nucleotide long non-coding RNA. RefSeq lists it as uncharacterized. The record is from RefSeq and is a predicted model, not a curated record. NCBI's taxonomy places the organism in Eukaryota, Metazoa, Arthropoda, Insecta, Hemiptera, Aphididae. The transcript has 3 exons.